AAAGAUUAAGCCAUGCAUGUCUAAGCACAAGCCUAAGAAUGGUAAAGCCGCGAAUGGCUCAUUACAACAGCCAUAGUUUACUGGAUCUUACUUUCCUACUUGGAUAACUGUGGUAAUUCUAGAGCUAAUACACGCAUGAAAGCUCUGACCGUUCGGGAGGAGCGCAUUUAUUAGAACAAAACCAAUCGGGCCUUCGGGCCCGCCAGUUGGUGAAUCUGAAUAACUUUGCAGAUCGCACGGUCUCGUACCGGCGACGUAUCUUUCAAAUGUCUGCCUUAUCAACUUUAGAUGGUAGUUUACACGCCUACCAUGGUUGUAACGGGUAACGGAGAAUAAGGGUUCGACUCCGGAGAGGGAGCCUGAGAAAUGGCUACCACAUCCAAGGAAGGCAGCAGGCACGCAAAUUACCCACUCCCGGCACGGGGAGGUAGUGACGAAAAAUAACGAGGCGGUUCUCUACGAGGCCCGCCAUCGGAAUGGGUACAAUUUAAAUCCUUUAACGAGGAUCUAUUGGAGGGCAAGUCUGGUGCCAGCAGCCGCGGUAAUUCCAGCU
Molecule: ribosomal RNA, 553 nt
Filed under: Nematoda environmental sample
Lineage: Eukaryota; Metazoa; Nematoda
Description: SSU rRNA
Rfam family: Eukaryotic small subunit ribosomal RNA
Source: RNAcentral